CAGCCGUAAACUAUGCGCGUUAGGUGUAUCGGUGACCACGAGUUACCGAGGUGCCGAAGGGAAACCGUGAAACGUGCCGCCUGGGAAGUACGGUCGCAAGGCUGAAACUUAAAGGGAAUUGGCGGGGGAGCACCACAACGGGUGGAGCCUGCGGUUUAAUUGGACUCAACGCCGGGAAGCUCACCGGAUAAGACAGCGGAAUGAUUGCCGGGCUGAAGACUCUGCAUGACUAGCUGAGAGGAGGUGCAUGGCGUAGACGUCU
RNAcentral lists this ribosomal RNA (262 nucleotides) under uncultured archaeon. RNAcentral describes it as "partial 16S ribosomal RNA". It matches the Rfam family "Archaeal small subunit ribosomal RNA", at positions 748 to 1009 of the family's 1478-position model. The record is from RNAcentral.